AAUCAACGCUGGCGGCGUGCCUAACACAUGCAAGUCGAACGAGAAAGUGGUAGCAAUACCAUGAGUAAAGUGGCGCACGGGUGAGUAACACGUGACUAACCUACCCUGGAGUGGGGGAUAACUGAGGGAAACCUUAGCUAAUACCGCAUAAUACCUACGGGUCAAAGGAGCAAUUCGCUUUGGGAGGGGGUCGCGGCCGAUUAGUUAGUUGGCGGGGUAAUGGCCCACCAAGACAGUGAUCGGUAUCCGGCCUGAGAGGGCGCACGGACACACUGGAACUGAAACACGGUCCAGACUCCUACGGGAGGCAGCAGUGGGGAAUUUUGCGCAAUGGGGGAAACCCUGACGCAGCAACGCCGCGUGGAGGAUGAAGUCCUUCGGGACGUAAACUCCUUUCGAUCGGGACGAUAAUGACGGUACCGGAAGAAGAAGCCCCGGCUAACUUCGUGCCAGCAGCCGCGGUAAUACGAGGGGGGCGAGCGUUGUUCGGAAUUAUUGGGCGUAAAGGGUGCGUAGGCGGUUUGGUAAGUCUUAUGUGAAAUCUAUGGGCUCAACUCAUAGACUGCAUGAGAAACUGCCGGGCUUGAGUGUGGGAGAGGUG
Molecule: ribosomal RNA, 601 nt
Filed under: uncultured bacterium
Lineage: Bacteria
Description: bacterial SSU rRNA
Rfam family: Bacterial small subunit ribosomal RNA
Source: RNAcentral